Molecule: transfer RNA, 75 nt
Filed under: Alloprevotella rava F0323
Lineage: Bacteria; Pseudomonadati; Bacteroidota; Bacteroidia; Bacteroidales; Prevotellaceae
Description: tRNA-Thr
Rfam family: tRNA
About the family: Transfer RNA (tRNA) molecules are approximately 80 nucleotides in length. Their secondary structure includes four short double-helical elements and three loops (D, anti-codon, and T loops).
Source: RNAcentral
GCUGUUAUAGCUCAGUGGUAGAGCACUUCCUUGGUAAGGAAGAGGUCACGAGUUCAAGUCUCGUUAACAGCUCUA